This 442-nucleotide RNase P RNA is filed under the name Bacteroidota bacterium. Its description in RNAcentral is "Bacteroidetes bacterium (microbial mat metagenome) RNase P RNA component class A". It matches the Rfam family "Bacterial RNase P class A". Rfam says of the family: Ribonuclease P (RNase P) is a ubiquitous endoribonuclease, found in archaea, bacteria and eukarya as well as chloroplasts and mitochondria. Its best characterised activity is the generation of mature 5'-ends of tRNAs by cleaving the 5'-leader elements of precursor-tRNAs. The record is from RNAcentral. Lineage: Bacteria; Pseudomonadati; Bacteroidota.
UGCAUCGGUCAGGUAAUCGCGUGCUCAAGCUUGCGCUUGCGCAAGCCCUGGCAUGAGGAAAGUCCGAACACCACAGGGCACCGUGUCCCGACAAUCUCGGGAGCCUCGCUUCGGCGGGGACGGCACGUGCAACAGAGAGCAGACCAGCCGAUGGCCCUGGCGUGGCCAGGGUACAGGUGAUGGGUGAAAGGGUGAGGUAAGAGCUCACCAGCGCGGCGGGUAACCGCAGCGGCUGGGCAAACCCCACGGGGUGUAAGACCAAACAGCGUUGCACCGGGCCUCCCGCGGAGGCGCCGGAUAGGCGGCCCGCUCAAGGGCAACGCGGGUAGGUUGCUUGAGGCGGUCGGCAACGGCCGCCCCAGAUAAAUGAUUACCGCCGUGGUGCAGGGCUGGCGAUACCCGUGCCACGGAACAGAAUUCGGCUUAUCGAUCGGCGCACAUC